This 119-nucleotide ribosomal RNA is filed under the name candidate division TM6 bacterium GW2011_GWE2_42_60. The record is from RNAcentral.
UUCCUGGUGGGCAUAGUUGUAGGGUAACACCCGUUCCCAUUCCGAAUACGGAAGUAAAGUCUACAACGCCGAUUGUACUUGUCUGGUAACGGACUGGAAGAGUAGGUACUGCCAGGUUU